GAUGAACGCUGGCGGCGUGCUUAACACAUGCAAGUCGAACGAUGAAGCCCAGCUUGCUGGGUGGAUUAGUGGCGAACGGGUGAGUAACACGUGAGUAACCUGCCCUUAACUCUGGGAUAAGCCUGGGAAACUGGGUCUAAUACCGGAUAGGAGCGUCCACCGCAUGGUGGGUGUUGGAAAGAUUUAUCGGUUUUGGAUGGACUCGCGGCCUAUCAGCUUGUUGGUGAGGUAAUGGCUCACCAAGGCGACGACGGGUAGCCGGCCUGAGAGGGUGACCGGCCACACUGGGACUGAGACACGGCCCAGACUCCUACGGGAGGCAGCAGUGGUGAAUAUUGCACAAUGGGCGCAAGCCUGAUGCAGCGACGCCGCGUGAGGGAUGACGGCCUUCGGGUUGUAAACCUCUUUCAGUAGGGAAGAAGCGAAAGUGACGGUACCUGCAGAAGAAGCACCGGCUAACUACGUG
RNAcentral lists this ribosomal RNA (466 nucleotides) under uncultured bacterium. RNAcentral's name for it is "partial 16S ribosomal RNA". It matches the Rfam family "Bacterial small subunit ribosomal RNA", at positions 28 to 507 of the family's 1533-position model. The record is from RNAcentral.